This 83-nucleotide microRNA precursor is filed under the name Bombyx mori (domestic silkworm). RNAcentral describes it as "mir-2807 microRNA precursor family". It matches the Rfam family "mir-2807 microRNA precursor family". Lineage: Eukaryota; Metazoa; Arthropoda; Insecta; Lepidoptera; Bombycidae. The record is from Rfam by way of RNAcentral.
UUAACUCAAAUUUGUAUGGAGUUGGAACGUUUGUUUACGUUUGCCGCUAGGGGCGCUGUUCCAACAGCAUCAUAUUUGAGUUA